RNAcentral lists this ribosomal RNA (462 nucleotides) under uncultured Methanolinea sp. RNAcentral describes it as "bacterial SSU rRNA". It matches the Rfam family "Archaeal small subunit ribosomal RNA", at positions 877 to 1338 of the family's 1478-position model. The record is from RNAcentral. Lineage: Archaea; Methanobacteriati; Methanobacteriota; Methanomicrobia; Methanomicrobiales; Methanoregulaceae.
CACCACAACGGGUGGAGCCUGCGGUUAAUUGGACUCAACGCCGGGCAGCUCACCGGAUAAGACAGCUGGAUGAUAGCCGGGGCUGAAGACUCUGCUUGACUAGCUGAGAGGAGGUGCAUGGCCGUCGUCAGUUCGUACUGUGAAGCAUCCUGUUAAGUCAGGCAACGAGCGAGACCCACGCCAACAGUUGCCAGCAUGUCCUCCGGGAUGAUGGGGACACUGUUGGGACCGCCUCUGCUAAAGAGGAGGAAGGAAUGGGCAACGGUAGGUCAGCAUGCCCCGAAUUAUCCGGGCUACACGCGGGCUACAAUGGUCAGGACAAUGGGUAUCGACACCGAGAGGUGGAGGCAAUCUCCUAAACCUGUCCUUAGUUCGGAUUGUGGGCUGCAACUCGCCCACAUGAAGCUGGAAUCCGUAGUAAUCGCGUUUCAACAGAACGCGGUGAAUACGUCCCUGCUCCUU